CCUGGUUCUACCGAAAUUAUUAAGUGCAUUAGAAGUUGUAAAUUGAUAAACUAACUCCAAUGACAAAGAAUUGAAUUUAAAAAUAUAAACACCUUAUACAGAUGGCAGAAACUAGACAUUGUUUUAAGAAAUCUGAUGUCGGGAUGAUUUGUCAUGAAUAUGAUGUCACUAAAACCAGUUUUCACGUUGCUCAGCAUUUCCCACAAGAUACCAUUUUCUGUUGGAAUUGACUACUGAAGCUAUGGAGUGUGACAAUGGUGUUUGUAUCAAAUCUGUCAAACGCCAUUAUCACACUAAUUAGUUACUGUAUGACUAACCAACAAUGCAAGAAGAAGCCACGUUGUUAAAAGUAUUGCAGAAUAGAUUUUUUUUUUGUGUCAAAAUUAGUCCAUAAAGCUUUGUAAGGUUGAUUGUUUCCUGUUGAAAGUUGGAAUAAAAUGCCAUACAUUUGA
Bombina bombina (fire-bellied toad) is the source of this 452-nucleotide long non-coding RNA. RefSeq lists it as uncharacterized. Lineage: Eukaryota; Metazoa; Chordata; Amphibia; Anura; Bombinatoridae. The record is from RefSeq and is a predicted model, not a curated record. The transcript is spliced from 2 exons.